RNAcentral lists this long non-coding RNA (257 nucleotides) under Carica papaya (papaya). RNAcentral describes it as "long non-coding RNA (CPAP_LNC013753)". The record is from RNAcentral. Lineage: Eukaryota; Viridiplantae; Streptophyta; Magnoliopsida; Brassicales; Caricaceae.
UAUAUGGAGAGAGAGGGAGAGAGAGAUAUAUAUAGAGAUGGUGGAAGUACCAUUUGAGAAGAUUCAAAAGGAUGGACGCCUUCUUCACCCGGUCUCCUGAAAGAAAGAGGAAUUGCUGACUCAGUCUUCGCCGCAAUAUGAAUCCCUUUUGCAGCUAAUUGUUCCGUCUGUGUAGCUUGGCGUGCUUCCUUCUCUUUUUCUUCUUUUUUCACCUUUUCUCUAAACUCCUUCAUUAUUUUCUGUUUUAAGAUGAAGCC